Molecule: long non-coding RNA, 365 nt
Filed under: Ursus maritimus (polar bear)
Lineage: Eukaryota; Metazoa; Chordata; Mammalia; Carnivora; Ursidae
Description: lncRNA (ENSUMAG00000000924.1)
Source: RNAcentral
CUCGCCUCCUGCCUCCCCUGACCCCGCAGGGCUGACAGCCGUCAAGCUCAUCACCUCUGAGAUCAGAGAGACUGGGAAGUAGACACUAGCGCUGGUGAGCGGAGGAAACACACAGAAGAGCAAUUAAAGCGGCGCGGGGCGGUGCCCCAGACUCCUGAGAAUCCCGUCUAAGCCCUGGGGCAUUUUCAGAUCAGCCUGGGGCUUUGGGAAGACUCUGGUGGUGGAGAGGAGGUGGUGGUGCUGAAAAGUCAGGAUGAAAUUGGACUUGUCCGGGCGAGCGAGGACCGCGCUGGGCUAGACCAGACGCUUGGGAAGCCAAUGUCUUGGGGCUCGCUGGCUGGUGGUGGUUGGGGAGAGAACCGGGG